AUGUAGGUUGAGCAUCAAAUGA
RNAcentral lists this microRNA (22 nucleotides) under Heligmosomoides polygyrus. Its description in RNAcentral is "hpo-miR-10054-5p". The record is from miRBase by way of RNAcentral. Lineage: Eukaryota; Metazoa; Nematoda; Chromadorea; Rhabditida; Heligmosomidae.